CCUACGGGAGGCUGCAGUGAGGAAUAUUGGUCAAUGGUCGGAAGCCUGAACCAGCCAAGUCGCGUGAGGGAAUAAUGCCCUAUGGGUUGUAAACCUCUUUUGCCGGGGAGCAAGAGCCGGCCGUAUCCGUCUGUGAGAGUACCCCAAGAAAAAGCAUCGGCUAACUCCUUGCCCGCAGCGGCGGUAAGACGGAGGGUGCGAGCGUGAUCCGGGUGUAUUUGGUGUAAAGGGUGCGCAGGCGGGUAUUUAAGUCGGCGGUGAAAGGGUGGGGCGCAACCCCAGCCAGCCGUUGAAACUGGGGAUCUAGAGUGUGCGAGAGGCAGGCGGAAUGCGUGGUGUAGCGGUGAAAUGCAUAGAUAUCACGCAGAACCCCGAUUGCGAAGGCAGCCUACCGGUGCACAACUGACGCUGAGGCACGAAAGCGUGGGGAGCGAACAGGAUUAGAUACCCGAGUAGUC
This 458-nucleotide ribosomal RNA is filed under the name uncultured bacterium. RNAcentral's name for it is "partial 16S ribosomal RNA". It matches the Rfam family "Bacterial small subunit ribosomal RNA", at positions 338 to 795 of the family's 1533-position model. The record is from RNAcentral.